GUUUGGUGUUAUGGUGGCUCUCGGUAGAGCUGCGGUGAGGGCCCCCAUCCCCCGGGCAGCGGUGGUGCACGCCGUGCCUCCUCGUCCCCCAAGGGCUAUAGGCCCGACCGCUCGAGGUGGCAGUUGAGGGAGAUGAAGGAGAGCUGGCCUCGCUCCUCCCGUCCCCGCAGGCCCUUAUGGAGGCGGAUGGCGGUACCGCGCCCGGCCGGGAGUGCGCAGGCAGCGCUGGAACGGCCCUGCGGUCCGUCCUGAGAUCGACUGCUGAGGAGUACUGCUUUAAUGCUUGUUUGGUGUCUAUUCCCCCAGCGGAACGAUGCCCUGAAGCAAAGAGUAAGUUAUCUUCACGUUCUGCAAAGGUGUUAAGAACGUUCUAGAUCUUUCCUUGUAUACUAGUGAUGUAAAGUAGCUAAGUGCAGGGCUGUUAACUGAAAAUAACCUGUAAUAAUUAUAUCUUAGUUAAGCAAAUAAAGCUAUUAAAAGCAAAUGUUAUCUCCUGUUAACAGUUAAUACUUCUUAUCAAC
This 521-nucleotide long non-coding RNA is filed under the name Gallus gallus (chicken). Its description in RNAcentral is "long non-coding RNA NONGGAT003466". Lineage: Eukaryota; Metazoa; Chordata; Aves; Galliformes; Phasianidae. The record is from RNAcentral.